UUUUAAUACUUUAUUGGAUCAAUAAUUUUUAUAUAAAUAAGUUGAAGUCAAAGCAAACGCAGGUAGAAAGAGCCAAAAAGGCAAUCAAUCCACAACAUAAGAACUUAUCAUAGGCGAAGACAUUUGGCAAAACCAUAAAGCAAGUCCUGUUGCCACGUUUUGUCAGCUGGGCGGUGAUUCCAAAAAAAGUAGAUCAUUGGAUGCACCGUUUUGUCCGUAAGAUGGGCCUUCUGUCAAUGAAAAUGCGUCACACUCGCUCCAUCUUAACCGUCCCUUUUUUUAUUUAUAUUUCUUAUCAACCGCCGUACUGUUUGGCACAUACGGUUAAAACAACAGCCCACGUUGUUAACAAAAAAAGGGGCCCACUC
This 368-nucleotide long non-coding RNA is filed under the name Gossypium raimondii (Peruvian cotton). Its description in RNAcentral is "long non-coding RNA (GRAI_LNC001343)". Lineage: Eukaryota; Viridiplantae; Streptophyta; Magnoliopsida; Malvales; Malvaceae. The record is from RNAcentral.